AAAAAUCCAAGGCACCCCUUCGACCUAACCAAGGCUAGUUGUGUGAUUUAAUCAAAGUUUUUCUUGUUUUAACCAAAGAAUUUAUUACAUUUGGAUGCACUACAUGAAUGCAAACCCUAGACCUAGGGGUAUUGGGGGAAAUUUCUCUUCAAAGGUUGAGUGGUGCCACUCACAUUAAUUGUGAAGCCCAAUAACGAUCCUUUGAAGAAGUCACGAAUAAUGCGAGUGGGAUGCAAAUGAAGGGAAUGCAUGUAUGCAAUGUGAAGGCAUGAGUUUGAAAAAGUAAUAAAAAACAAAGAUGCAUAAGUGAAAAUGUGCACGUGAGUGGGCAAGGUAUGGUAUGUGCAAUGGUAAUAUGAAUUGUAUGUGUGCAAGUGAUGAUAAAAAAGUGUUAGUGUGCAAGUGAAGGGAUAAAGAGAUGCACGUGUGCAAAUGAAGAAACAUAAAGGUGUACGUGUGCAAAAUGGGAGGAAAAAUGAAAGUGUGAUGAGGGUAUAAAAUGGUGGAGUGGAUGCAUGAACCUAGGGAAUGUAUGCAUAUUGGGUACGGGGAGACCUAAAUCGUGACUCAAUUUGCCCUUUUGUAGAGGGAAUACAAGCGUGCUAAGGCUUAGAAAAAGCCACACUCGUCUAUAUUCCAUAUUUAAGGGGACUCUUCAGGCAAAUGAACCCUAUAACUAGUAUGAAAUGUAAAAAUCCUAAAAUGGAGGGAAAAGGGGUUCGAGGGGCAUGCAAAAUGAUAAAACUAAAAAAAAAUGCAUGACAUGUGAUGAACAUGCAAACAUGUACUAACGAGGGGAAAUCCCUAAGGGUCUAGCGUUGGACUAGCCCAUUCUAUGAAUUCCGACUAGCGUUGGACUAGUGGAAACGUACAUUCAUCACAUUCAUUCAAGGAUAUGGAAAGCGAGUAGACAUGUCGAUCACAUAGCACAUAACACUUAGCAUGCAUAUCUAAAUGCCAAAACCUAAGAAAACGAUUAAACAUAUAGCACAUAGACAUGCAAGACACAUAAGGUGAUUAAGGCCCUAACUAUUACAUUUGCUAGCUAGGCACAAGUCUUCAACAGCUCUUCAUCGAAUGCUCCUUCAAACCCUAUCUAUUACAAGCCAAGAGGUGUACACAUACCCCAUAAA
RNAcentral lists this long non-coding RNA (1133 nucleotides) under Coffea arabica (coffee). RNAcentral describes it as "long non-coding RNA (CARA_LNC008063)". Lineage: Eukaryota; Viridiplantae; Streptophyta; Magnoliopsida; Gentianales; Rubiaceae. The record is from RNAcentral.